UACAGAGGGGGCAAGCGUUGUUCGGAAUUACUGGGCGUAAAGGGUGCGUAGGCGGCGAGGCAAGUCUGGUGUGAAAUCCCGGGGCUCAACCCCGGAACUGCACUGGAUACUGCUUUGCUAGAGUACUGGAGAGGGAACUGGAAUUUACGGUGUAGCAGUGAAAUGCGUAGAUAUCGUAAGGAAGACCAGCGGCGAAGGCGAGUUCCUGGACAGUUACUGACGCUGAGGCACGAAGGCCAGGGGAGCAAACGGG
Molecule: ribosomal RNA, 253 nt
Filed under: uncultured bacterium
Lineage: Bacteria
Description: partial 16S ribosomal RNA
Rfam family: Bacterial small subunit ribosomal RNA
Source: RNAcentral